UACGAAGGGGGCUAGCGUUGCUCGGAAUCACUGGGCGUAAAGCGCACGUAGGCGGGUCCUUAAGUCAGGGGUGAAAUCCCGGAGCUCAACUCCGGAACUGCCUUUGAUACUGGGGAUCUUGAGUCCGGAAGAGGUGAGUGGAACUCCGAGUGUAGAGGUGAAAUUCGUAGAUAUUCGGAAGAACACCAGUGGCGAAGGCGGCUCACUGGUCCGGUACUGACGCUGAGGUGCGAAAGCGUGGGUAGCAAACAGG
Molecule: ribosomal RNA, 253 nt
Filed under: uncultured bacterium
Lineage: Bacteria
Description: partial 16S ribosomal RNA
Rfam family: Bacterial small subunit ribosomal RNA
Source: RNAcentral